This 752-nucleotide long non-coding RNA is filed under the name Drosophila guanche. Lineage: Eukaryota; Metazoa; Arthropoda; Insecta; Diptera; Drosophilidae. The record is from RNAcentral.
GGUUUGUUGAGGCAGGCCUUGAAAAAUGUAAACGAAAUUUUUGGCCAGACCAUAUCUAGUCAGGCCUUAACCGAUACGGAUCGUGGAAAAGAGAACUAAAAGCGUUUGAGACUGGGCCGAUUGCCGCUUCGCUUUGGCAAUUUAUCUGGCCCCAUCUGCAAUUGUUGACUUUGUGCCGACGACUGGCCCGCAAUGUACGCUAUUGUCCUGCUUUGCAUAAUAGCUAACGAACUAGGAUUUUUUCCACAUUCCCACAUUGGUCUGGUUUGGGCCCCACGCCAUGCUGGUCUCUGUGUCUGGGCUUGCAACACUCCCUUCCAUGUGGAGCUUGGCGUUCGCUUCAUUGGCAUAUCAAUCAAAGACCAAAAACGGAAAAUGAAUUCGCUUACUCACACCAACCGAAGUGGGAUAGGAAGAAGGAAAGGUAUGCUGUGGAGAAGGGCCAGUGUGCAGAUGCGGAAUUUUUUCUGCUGCCUCGGCCGGAUGCCAUUUUAAUUAAGUGUUGGCUGCCUUGGCAUCCGCGGCAAGGACGAAGCCUAGCAGGAGUCCGCGUCUCCGUGUGUGCCGUCGUGGGUCCUGACCAAGAGAAAUUUAACAUUCAGAUGGUAGAGCAUAUCUCGGUCUAUACUCUGGAUGGAAGUGACAGCUCAAAAUCAGAGAGGAGAGGGCGAGAGCGGCUUGGGGCUGGCUAUUGCGCUCCAUUGCGACUGACAGUUUAAUUAUUAUUUUUGCAAAUCAGUUAAUUAAUUAAG